Molecule: ribosomal RNA, 468 nt
Filed under: uncultured bacterium
Lineage: Bacteria
Description: partial 16S ribosomal RNA
Rfam family: Bacterial small subunit ribosomal RNA
Source: RNAcentral
GACGAACGCUGGCGGCGUGCUUAACACAUGCGAGUCGAACGGAAAGGCCCUGCUUUUGUGGGGUGCUCGAGUGGCGAACGGGUGAGUAACACGUGAGUAACCUGCCCUUGACUUUGGGAUAACUUCAGGAAACUGGGGCUAAUACCGGAUAGGAGCUCCUGCUGCAUGGUGGGGGUUGGAAAGUUUCGGCGGUUGGGGAUGGACUCGCGGCUUAUCAGCUUGUUGGUGGGGUAGUGGCUUACCAAGGCUUUGACGGGUAGCCGGCCUGAGAGGGUGACCGGCCACAUUGGGACUGAGAUACGGCCCAGACUCCUACGGGAGGCAGCAGUGGGGAAUAUUGCACAAUGGGCGGAAGCCUGAUGCAGCAACGCCGCGUGCGGGAUGACGGCCUUCGGGUUGUAAACCGCUUUCGCCUGUGACGAAGCGUGAGUGACGGUAAUGGGCAAAGAAGCACCGGCUAACUACGUG